UGAAGAGAGUAACCAGGAAGACCAAUGC
Molecule: non-coding RNA, 28 nt
Filed under: Bombyx mori (domestic silkworm)
Lineage: Eukaryota; Metazoa; Arthropoda; Insecta; Lepidoptera; Bombycidae
Source: RNAcentral